Molecule: transfer RNA, 77 nt
Filed under: marine sediment metagenome
Description: tRNA-Met
Rfam family: tRNA
About the family: Transfer RNA (tRNA) molecules are approximately 80 nucleotides in length. Their secondary structure includes four short double-helical elements and three loops (D, anti-codon, and T loops).
Source: RNAcentral
CGCGGGGUAGAGAAGUCUGGCAUCUCGCAAGGCUCAUAACCUUGAGAUCGGAGGUUCGAAUCCUUCUCCCGCUACCA